UAAUACUAGACUCUUUUUGCUUAAAUUUAUGGGUUGUUGAUUGGUUGAGGAUACUGUUGUCAACAGAUAUACUUGCAUCAAGUGAAGUUGUAAAGAGAGAAAAGAUGUUAGGCUGUCCAAAUUACCAGUUGCUUUCACUUGUUUUGAUCUUACUGUUAAUAAUGGUUGAUCCAAGUUCACAAGAAAGCCGUGUGAAAUCUGCUGUCUUUCUAUCACCAGCGUUUGUGCUGGAACCUGGAUCUGUCUCUAACAAGUUUUACUACAACAUUGGCUUCCCAAAAGGCCAUAUUGCUAUCAAAAAUUUCGAUGCCGAAGUAGUUGAUGAGGCAGGGAAUGCUGUACCUCUCUACGAGACAUAUCUUCACCACUGGGUUGUUGUAAGAUAUUAUAAUCGAAAAGGUGUGGAAGUAACAAAGUACCGUGAUGAUUUGGGGUUCCACCAAUCAGAUUUAAUUGUCAAGAGAAACUCAGGGAUAUGUGAUGGAGGCCUUUCUCAAUAUUUUGGCCUUGGGUCAGAGACGCGAAAAACAAUCACCUAUGUUCCAGACCCUUAUGGAAUAGAAGUCGGUAAUCCAGUCGAAGUACCUCCUGGAUACGAGGAGAAAUGGUUGCUCAAUUUACAUGCAAUUGAUACACGAGGUGCGGAAGAUAGAUUGGGAUGUACUGAAUGCAGGUGUGAUCUUUAUAAUGUUACCAAGGACGAGCAUGACCGAGUUAUAGAGCCAGAUUACAUUGGAGGGUUGAGAUGUUGUUACGAUGAAACAAGAUGCAGGGUGAAAGACGGAUUCCAAGGAUCAAAGAGAAGCCUGUACCUGAAGUACACAGUGAAGUAUAUUGAUUGGGAUCCCUCCAUCGUGCCUGUAAAAAUUUAUAUACUCGAUAUAACUGAUACAUGGAAAAAGCCAGAAAAAUCGACUGCCGCUGUGGCAAGACAUCACUGCCAGGUGUGAGAGAAAAUGAUAAUUUAGCUCAUAAUUCAAAUCAUUUUUAACUCUUUACUAAUAUUCAGGCAAUUUCUUUUACUUCAGAUUGAAUAUUUAGUGGAGUCAUGUUCAUCAGCUGUUGCAAAUGUCGAUUGCACUCAUACAAAGAAGAUAAUUGUAACUUUUCCUAGCGGCGGAGAUGUUAUCUAUGGAGUUGCUCAUCAACAUACAGGAGGGACUGGUAUGGCACUCCAUGGAGAGGUACUCCGAGCUAUUAUAUUUUGUUUCUUUGGUUAUGCUCUGCUUACAAUCUGGAUUACUUGUAUACGUUUCUUAUAUAUUUUCAGUCGAUUAACUUAUUGAUAAAAACAAAGAUUUUUGUACAAUAAACUUUUUCAUUUAAUGAUACUUGGCUUAGUUGGGUGUCAUCUUAACACUGGUUAUGUAUGCCACGACUUUCAAGACCAGAUUGAUUGAAUCCAUAUCUAAUCUCGUUCUCUUAACAUCCUAUAAAAGAGAAGUGUUGUUAGUGUUUAUUUGACAUGAUUGUCAUACUUCCACAGAUUAUUUUGUUGAUUCAAACUGUUAUGUCCCAGACUGUCAGAAUGGUAUCAUUUCAAUUUAUUUUCAAUUAGCUGCAGAAAGCUUGAUGUUUUUUAUUAUACUGAAUGGAGCCUCCUGCCCGUUGAGACAAUUAAUGGCCGUGUUAUAUUGUCUGCUUAGUUAAUAUAGUGGCCUCUCGAUGAACUGCGUCAUUUUAUAGGUGAUAAUAUUGCUUCUUGAUAGUUAACUGCUUUAGUUUUGUAAGUGCAUAGGUGUAAGUUCAGUACUUGUGUGGGAACUCAGGAAGAUAAGCUGGUGUAUAAGGCCAUGGCUAUCGGGUAGUAAAACAGUCAUAAUAGUUGUUGCGUGUUUGUAUAGCAUAUUAUUCUCAAUUGUCGUCAUGAUUAGCUAAGCAGAUUUACUUGUUCUGAUUUGUGGAGCACCUUGUUUGUUGGUGUUUGGUGUUGGUUAUUUCUUAAUUUCUUCUUCUCUGUUUCCGCUGCUUUGGUCUAGGAUGGACGUGUCAUAUGCUCAUCUCUUCCAAUCUAUGGGGAAGGAAAGGAACCAGGAAAUGAAGCUGGUUACAUUGUCGGGAUGUCUACUUGUUAUCCUAGACCUGGCUCUAUCAAGAUCUCGGAAGGGGAGACUGUAACUUUACUAUCAAACUAUAGCAAUGCCCAAAGGCAUACAGGAGUGAUGGGGUUGUUCUAUCUCUUAGUUGCUGAACCAUCACCGAAGCCUAAUUCUAUCCUACAUUCCACAGAUGAAGUAAGAUCUUUGACUCAUUAAAAGUUUUCGAGAUUCAGAGUAGUGAAUUUCCUACUUGAGUCUACACAAGAUCAUAUAUUUCUGAACUUGUUUCUUCUUCACUAUUGCAGACAGGUGAGAUUGUAAUAUUGCAGAAUGCUAUUGGAGCCUUGGCAGCAGUGUUCGGAAUUGCACUACUUGUUGGUGCUGCUGUUAUUUAUCAACGUCGGAAUCAAAGGGAUCAGGAAGGCUAUGAGUCUAUACUGAUGUGAGGUUCUUUCCCUUCUGGUGACUCUGGUCCCUAGUGUAAUACACAAAAUUCAAGUUCUGAUCUCCCUUCUUUUCGUGGACUAGUUCCUCCACAUGUGUGUUGCACUUGUAUGUCAAGUCAUGAAUUAUACGAUUUUGUAAAAUAAUAAUGAUAUUAUUAAAAUAAAACUUUGAGUAAAUGAUAGUACAAGUAUUUGUGAAUGAUGUAUCUUUGGAUCUUUGUAUAGUGACAUGUUUGUCAUUGUUAAGAAGUUGAAUAGUUAAUUAGCAUUAAUUAGAUAGAUAUUAUCUAGCAAAAAUAUUCUUUUAACUUAUAAGUAGGCUUCUGUUAGGGUUUUGUCCUGAUUUUCUUACCAUAAUUUAAGAUUUAUUUUUCCUUAAAGAAAAGACAAAACAUUACCAUAAAUGUUUUUACUUAUUUGAAAGGAAAAUAUAAUAUUCUUUCAUAUUUGAUUUAUUCUCUCCUUUUAGGACUCCUUUUCUAGUAAGAAAAGGUUUUAGGACUCUAUAAAUAUGUUUGUUUCUUCUAACACAAAAACAAUAACAUCCACAAUGUAGUCGUUUAACAGUCUUGUUUAUGGGGAGAUUUAUUCUCUCUAAAGUUUCAAUGUUUUUCUUUAUAUUAGUUUUGAUAUAAUAAUAUUUUGAUUUUUUAGUAUAAGUUUUUUGUUAUCUGAUUUAUCAACUAUAUGAUUUGUAAAUUGUAAGCUUCCGCAUGACGCCCUAAUCACCCUUCAGAACCCAACAGCUUCCUACUUCUAAAAGUAAAUAAGUUCAAAUUUAAUUUUCAAUCUGAAUAUCUCAAAGGCAAAACAAUUUGGUUAGUUGACAUCUUACUUUUGCAGUGAAAUAGCAAGAAAGAAUUAAUUUAUUUCCAAGAGGUUACUGUUGCCGUGAAAUAACAAAAAAGAAUAAUUUAUUUCAAAGAUGUUACUUUUGCUUUUCUAAGGACAAAACAGAUCUUGAAUUCAGCUAAAAUUAUUGAAUUAGGAUUAAAUAUAAUAAUGUCAGAAACAGAUUUAAGGGAAAAUUACGCAACAAGGCAAAAUGUGAUAUUUAUUUACGAUAAAAUAUUACAAUUCGUAGCUAUAUGUAGGGUUUUAUAUAUUGUAUUCAAAAAACUAUUUUAUAUUUUGUAUCAAUUGUAUUUGUAUUCUGUAUCAAUUGUAUUCAUGAUACAACGAAUAUAAUAUGCAUUUAUCCCCUCUUUCAAAUAUAUUAUGUAUCAAUUAUAUCCAAUCAAAUAUAGGUGAAAGAUUUAUCUUUUAUAUCAGUUGAGAACUACCAUUGUCAUGGGAUUGCUCUUCAUUUAUUUCAUCACAAAAAAACUCCUAAUUUCUCCUACAUUUUUUAGUCUCCACACUGAAUUUUUACUAAUCUGGUAAGUUUGUCUCUUAUUAAUUUCUUUUUCUAAUACAAAAUUAUUUCUAUUCUUCCUAUACAUAAUAAGAAAAUGAGUAUGUAAAAACAAUAAGACUCACUCUUUUGUAUUCAACACGAAAAUAUGGUGUACUAUUUCUUAAUUUCCUAGUAUAUGUUAGUAUUAUACAAAGUUGCAUCUAUUUAUUUGACUUUCAAUUACCACAACAGGGGAAAAUAAUAUUUGCAGUAUCAUAUUAAUGAAUCUUCAGCUAGUUUUUGUUCUUUGUUCAACAAAAAAAAUGCCUAUUAAUUUGCCUCCACCAAACCCCGCCCAUACCCGCUCCAUUGUCAUCCCAAGCCUUGCCCUACCAUGGAUUCAACCCACCCUACCCUGCCCCGUUUAGCUCCUCUACUUUUUUUUUUUUAUCAAGUUUGCAAAGGUAAUUUAGAAAAUAAUCAAAUGUAAUCAAUGAAGCUUUGUUUCUCCUAAGAAAUUAACUAACAUGUUCCUAAUUACAAGAGUAGAACUUCAGGAGAAAAUGAUCGAAAUGGUCCUAAAUGUAUGUGUAAUGCUUUUUUUGGUCCUUAAUGCAUUUCACUUGAUUGGAAUGGUCCUUAAUGUAUAAUAAAUGUGUUCAUUUUAGUCCUUGAUAUAUUUCACUGGAUUGAAAUGAUCCUUAAUGUAUAACAAAAUAUGUUUAUUUUGGUCAUUAACCCUAAACUCAACAAGUUUAUCAAAAAAAUAAUCUUAAAUUUAACUGUGGACCCCACGUGGUGAAUUACUCCCAAGAAAUACUUUAUGAAAUCUAACAUCAUUUUCUCUAUUUUCUCUAACAUGUUUAUUAUUUUCUCUUGCUUAAAAUUGAAAUGGGUAUUAGGUUUUGAAAUAAUAUUAUAGAAAAGAGAAUAUAGUAAAUUUUGUUGGAGAAACUAGAGAAAAUGGUGUCAGAUUUAUGGAAUUCUUUCUUUAUUCUUUCUUUGGAGCUAACAAAAAAGACAAUAAUGGUAAUUUUUGUUAGCCAAGUAGGGUCUAAAAUAAAAUUUAACACUUUUUAUUUAGAUAUAGGGUAAAAGAUCAAAAUGAACCAUUUCAAUAAAAUAAAAUACAUUAAAGAUCAAAAUGAACAUAUUUGUUAUACAUUAAGGACCAUUUCAAUCAAGUGGAAUAUAUUAAGGACCAAAAAUAUAAAGCAUUACCUAUACAGGACCAUUUUGGUCAUUUUCUCAGAAUUUCACACAUGCCUAUUGUUUAGCUUGAUGAACUUGUCAAAUGUAAGAGUUUUAGAGGUCGUUUGGUACAAAGUUUAAUAACGCAUGGAUUAGUAACACAAAGAUUAGUAAUGCAAUGAUUAGUAGUGCAAUGAUUAGGAAUGCAGAGUUUAUUUAUAUCAAGUGUUUGGUUCAUUAUUUCUCACCUCUCUUGUGUUUGGAUUAAAACUCUAUAAAGUUUCUUUCCAAUUAUACCCUUGAAUUAUUAUUAAAUUGGGUCAAGUAAGAUAAUUAUCGGACAAUGCUAUUUUUUAUGGCGUUCUAACUAGCUAUGAGAAGAACAAUUUAGUUGUCAUGUUUGCUAUUUUUUCACUUGAAUUAUUUGAGGAUAAAUAAUUGUUAUCUUAAUAAAUUGAUCACUAAAAAAAUGUCAAUUUCCAAUUUAAAAAAGAUAAUCCAUCUACUUUUAAAAUAUGUUGCAAAUGUCGAUUGCACUCAUACAAAGAAGAUAAGCAUAACUUUUCCUAGUGGAGGAGAUAUCAUCUACGGAGUUGCACAUCAACAUACAGGAGGGACUGGAUGGCACUCCAUGGAGAGGUGCUCUAAGCUAUUAUAUUUUGUUUCUUUGGCUAUGUUUUCUUAUAUAUUUUUAAUUAUUUUUUGUACUUGGAUUUGCUAUAUUUGAGCCGAGAAUCUUUCAGAAACAAUCUCUCUAUCUCCACGAGGUAGUGGUAAGGCCUUCGUACACUCUAUCUUCUCAGACCCCACUUAUGGAGCUACACUGGGUAUGUUGGUGUUCUUGUUGAUGAUACUUGGAUUAUUAGUUGAGUUGCAUCUUAACACUGGAAAUGUAUGCCACAACUUGCAAGACCAGAUUGAUCGAAUCCAUAUCUAAUCUCAUUCUCAUAACAUAAAAAAAGAAGAAGUGUUGUUAGCAUUCAUUUGACACGAUUGUCAUACUUCAGAAGAUGGUGUUGAUUAUUUUCUUAAUUUCUUCUUAUCUGUUUCCGCUGCACUGGUCUAGGAUGGACGUGUCAUAUGCUCAUCUUUUCCAAUCUAUGGAGAAGGUUAGGAAAGGAACCAGGAAAUGAAGUUGGUUACAUUGUGUUGAAGAAGAAUGGGUAUUAUUCUCAUUCAUUGAUGUCCAAGUUGAUCGAAGAAAGAAAGGAAAUAAGUAUUGUCGGAAGAGCCCAUAUGAAUACACAUAUAUUGACAAAUAGCUUGUCUCCAGGCUCCACACGUGGCAACAUUAGAGCGAAUACUUUAUUCAUUGAUGGAUUAAAUCUUAACCAUCUGAUGAAACCCAAACAAAUAGCUAAUGUGGUCACGUAAGGAAAGUAUGCCUAUAGAAAAGAGAAUAUUUUCUGUUAUAGACUAGACCAAUAGUUUAGGAACAACCGUACAAAAUAUAUUUUCUUUCUUAUUUAUUUUCAGCAAAGCACUUGUAAAAAUACAAUCCCUUUGGGAAAUCAAUACACAAUGAAAUUUUAAAAAUCUUCUUUCAAUUUUCUAACAUGGUAUCAAAGCAAUAAGCUCAACCUAAAGAUUUCCUAUCAAUCAACAUGAGUGAUGAGACCCAAAUCAACAUUACCAAUGCUAGAAACACCAUCGACCCUGUCAACACGGGAUCUGGAAACAAAGUUGACAUCAAUCAUCAUUUUCACCUUCAACCUUCAGAUGCACCAGGGCAGACCCUAGUGAAUACCUCAUUUGAUGGAAGAGGUUUUCCUGGAUGUCGAAGAUCUGUCCUCAUAGAUCUCUCAGCUAAGAAUAAGCUGGGUUUUAUCAAUGGAUCCAUCACACCACCAGAUCUGAAUACAUCAAACUACCAACAGUGGAGUCGAUGCAAUCAUAUGGUUACUUUUUGGCUUCUGAAUUCUGUCUCCAAAGAUAUAGAAGGCAAUGCAAUCUGCUCCAAAACAUCUAGAGAUAUGUGGAUGAGUCUUGAGCAUAGGCUUGGGAAAACAAGUGGAGCUAAGUUGUUUCAUCUACAAAAAGAGAUCAUAGGAUCAGUACAAGGUACACUUGAUAUUUCUACAUAUUUUACUAGGCUCAAACGUCUAUGGGAUGAGCUAGAUUCGCUGAAUGCGGAUGUAGUGUGCACUUGUGUUUGUAUAUGUGAAGGGCAAAAAAAAUUAACCAAAUCGCUGCAGGAUCAAAGACUUGUGCAAUUUUUAAUGGGUUUGACUGAUGUGUAUUCCAAUGUUAGGAGUAUCAUACUCAUGUCAAACUAUCUUCCCACACUUGAUUAUACUUGUUAUCUAUUGCUACAAGAUGAGAAUCAAAGGGAAGUGUUUGCUAAUGCUCAUUUUCCUAGUGAGACUGUUUCAGUCAUGGUAGGUAUAACUGCAAGUCCUAUACAGAAGCAAGGGAAACAAGCUCAAAGGAAUGUUUUCCCAUUGCAGAGGCAAAAAGGAAACCAAUUCAGAAAUAAAGGAAGAAAGACAAAAUUUAACCCUGAUGUGACCUGCAAUCACUGCAUUAAGAUAGGGCAUAUAAAAGAAGAUUGUCACAGGUUGAUAGGGUAUCCUGAUGAUUUUUAAUUUACCAACAAUAGAGAAUUUCAGGGAACACCUAAGGGAAACACAACAAUGAUAAGAGAAGUUUUUGAGGAAAGUGACACUACACAAAUUCAGAGUAACUGGAAGGAAGGAGGGCAACAAUUCAACAAGGCGCAAAUAACACAAAUCAAAAACAUGAUGAAGGAAGAAAUGGGACAUGGAACAACUCCUGAAUCAGAAAUUAAUGCUAAUGUUGUUGCUGGUACUAUUCUUAAGUACUCUGGUUCUUGUUUUAAGAUUGUGGACUCGGAGCUUCUGAGCAUAUGUGUUAUGAUUCCAACUCUUUCCUAUUUUUUAACUCCUCUUAUUGUUCCUUUGAGUAUCAGUCUUCCAAACUUUUUAAAAAUAAAUGUCACACACAUAGGUAGUGUUUCUUUUAAAUCUCAACUCACUCUUAAGAAUGUUCUUUAUGUCCCAGAUUUCAAAUAUAAUUUGUUGUUUACUCACAAAUUAUGUUGCCAAUUUCAUUGCACUUCUUAUUUUAAUUCUAGUGGGUGUAUGUUGCAGUCCCCUUUUAUGAAGAGGGCACAAGCUUUUGGUAAAGUGAAGGAAAAAGUUUAUAUGUUUUGGAGCAGAGAAGUGAUCAAUCUAAGAAGUCUUCUAGUGAUAAUAGCUUUUCUUUCAAAAAAACUCAGUCAUGACAGUCCCGUUUCUAGCUCAAAUCUAGAGUCAGUUCCAAUGUAUGCAAAUGCUAUUUCUAAUGCACAACUCUGGCAUUGUAGAUUGGGACAUCUCUCUUUUUCAGUAAUGAAAAGUUUUUGUUUCAUUGAUUUUUCUUCAAAUUCUGAUCAUGUGUGUGAUGUAUGUUCUAAAGUUAAACAAACUAGACUUCAUUUUCCCCUUAGUAGUAUCAAAUGUAAAGGAAUAUUUGAUUUGAUUCACAUUGAUACAUGGGUCCUUACAAGUCCUGUACUCACAAUGGUUAUAAGUACUUCUUGACUAUAGUAGAAGCACUUGGACUUUUCUUUUGACAACUAAAAGUAAUGUCUUCUUUGUUCUCAAAUCCUUCUUAUGUAUGGUGGGCUCAUCAGUCUCUCUUUUGUUCCCUCUCAACACCAGCUUGCCGAUCUUUUCACCAAAGCUCUCUCUGGUGCACCACAUUGUGAUCUACUGUGCAAGUUGGGGGUUUCAUCCACCCCCUCCAACUUGAGGGUGAUGUUGAAGAAGAAUGAGUAUUAUCCUCAUUCAUUGAUGCCCAAGCUGAUCGAAGAAAAAAUGGAAAGAAGUAUUGUCGGAAGAACCUACGUGAAUACACAAAUAUUGACAAAGAGCUUGUCUUCAGUUCCACACGUGGCAGCAUUAGAGAGGAUACUUUAUUCAUUGAUGGAUUAAAUCUUUACCAUCUGAUGAAACCCAAAUAAAUAGCUAAUGUGGUCACGUAAGGAAAGUAUGCCUAUAGAAAGGAUAAUAUUUUCUGUUAUACACUAGACCAAUAGUUUAGGAACAACUGUACAAAAUAUAUUUUCUUCCUUAUUUAUUUUCAGCUAAGCACUUGUAUAAAUACACUCCCUUUGGGAAAUCAAUACACAGUGAAAAUUCUGGAAAUCUUCUUUCAAUUUUCUAACACAUUGUCGGGAUGUCUAGUUGUUAUCCUAGACCUGACUCUAUCAAGAUUUCAGAAGGAGAGACUGUAACUUUACUAUCAAAUAUAGCAAUGCCCAGAGUAUACAUGAGUGAUGGGGUUGUUCUAUCUCUUUGUUGUUGAACCAUCAUCGAAACGUAACUCUAUUCUUAGUGUAUACUUGUUAUGCUGUAAUUUUACUAACUUUAGAAAAAUCACAUUUUGAAAUGUUCUAAGUAUAAAACAAUUUGAAAAACGCCACUUAAUUUUUUUUAAAGAAAUUAAGAAAACUUAAUUUAAAAAGACUCUAACAGAUUAAAUCUUUAUAAAUUUAGAGAAAAUGGGUAAGAGGUUCUUAUUUACGCUUCAAGAAGGUUUUUAAGGCAUUUGAAGCGCCCACUAACAUGCGGUUAUCCUACGACUUGGUUAAAAUAUAUUUGACUAUUUUUUAGGAAAAUGAUUUGACUUACAAACUAAUAAUUUACAAUAUUUGAUUUAACUUUGAAAAAAUAAUUAAAUAAAGGACACAUUUUAUUUUAUUUUUAAGGAAAGGGACCUAAAUUGAAACGUUUGAAUCUAAUUACAAGUGAUUGGAACUUUAACAAAACUAGAUUAAUUAGAAUUUUUUAUUUUUUUGAAUCAUUUUAAAAAAUAAUAAUUUGAACUAAAUUAGUUAAUUUAAGCAUGAAACUAUUUUUAAUUAAUUAAAAAAAAUAAGUUUUGACUAAUGAUGUUAAAUAAAAGUAUGAGAGUUGAUAAAAAAUGAGUUAUAUUAAAAUGUACUAACAUAAAAAAUAUAGUUCAUCUUUUGGGGAAUUUAAUUAAGCUAACCUUAAAAUUAAUUAUCAAAUAAGCAAGUAAGAGUAAGACAAAUUAAUAAAUUCAAAUAGAGAGUGAGGGAGGAAGAUUUGGGCCUUUCUGAUCUUGGGCUUUUGCCCCAUUUCCCUGUCCUAAACUAUUAUAAAGGCUGCCCAAAAAUCAGAUGGGCUUUGGCCCAUCUUCCAAAAAAAAAAAAGCUGCCUGAAUUUUCUUGGGGCUUUUGGGCCCAUUUCUGAUUUUUGUAUACAGACCGUAUACUGUCCGUAUAUCAGUGUAUAUAACUCCAUUUUUAACUAUCGAGACUUGUAUUUUUCGUCUUCGACCUGUAUAUCCGCAGUUUGGAUCUAUAUUUCAGUACCUCAACCUAUAUAUCAGUGUAUAAAUAUUGUAUACAACAUGAUACAACCCAUUUCUUGGGCUUUUAAACAUUUCUAAACUAAUUUCCAGCAGUUUGUUGGGCCUCCGGGAUCUGUAACGGCUUCCAAAUACAUAGGGGGGCUGACUCGAGAAAUAGGGAAAGCAAAGAUCGAGCCUUUAUGGCUCAACUCGGAAAUGUAAGGUAGAUAAGUCCACCAUGGACUCGAAAGGGGGUCCAUACAAGAAACGAAAGAAAGAACAAAAUUAGUAUGUGAGACGAAGAAGCAAAUGAAGCAUAAUUCAAUUGAAGUAAAGAGCAACUCAAGCACUUUAAAAAAAAUGCAACCAAAGCUACCAUAGGACAAAUGAAUACUACUGUAUCAAAGGAAAAAAAAACUCACUCUUCAUCUAUGACUUAACAGUGCAUGAAGGAAAUCAAAGCAUGAUAGGAAGUAAUGUAUUUAACACUAGACUAUCACAAUCUACGCAUAAGGAAAUUUCAAGGCAUAUGUAUACACACACAAGAAUAAAGUUUAUAAGCGAGUGAAAAUGGAUGUAAUAAAAGCAGCUCACAAUAUGGUAAACAAAUAGUUAGUAAUUAACAUAAUUAUGUAUAAAAGAGAGAGGGAGCAGGCUAACGAACAAUCAAACUAUGCAUCUACCAAUAAAUAAAGCCACCUAUCGCAGAGGUAUCAUAAAUCAAAGAUAUGGAGUAAGGUAAUUUUGUUUAUUUGGAAAUAGAAGCCACCAAACAUGACAAUCGAACUGCGAGGAAAAUAACACCAAAGAUUCAAGUUUAAUCAUCCUAAGGACCAAACUCUAGCCAACUAAGAUAUAAGAGACUUAAAUGGGGAUAUACAUACAUGAAAAGAGAGCAAAUUACUACGCUAAGUAUUCCUAAGGAUAUGUAUCGGGACAACGAGAUCAUGAUGAGAUAUUAGAACAUUUUAAGCAAAAUCAAAUCCGAAGCGGGGCGACAUUUGAGUAAAAAAUGAAAAUGGCAUUGUCAAACACUAGAUCUUCCUAUCAUGGCAAAUAAAGACAACCUCAUUCAAGUAUAAUACUUCUAAACACAUAAAGAUUAAGCACAUGCAAGGAAAAUACCUCGAAAUGAACCCACGAUAAUUUUGACAUGCACUAAAAGACUAGAAAAGUUAUAAACCCAUACCGGUUUAAUUAAACUAAAAAAAAAAAACUGAACACAUUUUGCUAAGAAGAGAGUGUACCAUACAAAUUACAUAUAUUGUUAAAUCAAGGCUACUCUCUUUAUUAGAGAUUAACAACACCAAGUAGUGAACAAGAAACAUAGCAAAGCAAAUUCACUACGAAACUUCUGUAAUCAUUUUUGACAAACAGAGAAGCAGUAAAGAUGAACUACAUGGACGACAUAGAUUAGGCAAAUAACAGAUGCUAAAAAAUGGUCCAAGCCAAAGCCAAAAUCUUAUCCCAUGAACUUGAACACACACGGGAUGCUUACAAUCCAUUAAACAACUAACCAAGCAUGUUGGUGGAACAAAAUCUAAUUUGUGAAUACUUAACAGAAAGCUAGUACACCAUUUCAGAAAUGAAUAAGUAAAUGACAUAUCAAGCUCAAAAAGAAGCCGACAUAAUUAAAAUUGAAAACUUCAAAAGAUAAAAAUACGAGAGGAAGAGGAAACUUGAUAAAGGGAAAUAGAUUACCUUUUCGGGGGCAGCGAGACUAGGACAAAUGAGCUGAGAACAACGACUCUUCUACUAUGAAAUCUAUAUACGAACAACACGCUAAGAAACUCCGAGCGUCGAUCUUCUCAGAGCUUAGAAUCAGAAAGCUAGAUAUGGAAUUCUUAAGUGUAAAAUGUCUAUGGCUCAAAAACCAAGCUCAAAACCCGUGUCCUAAUCACUGAGAGUAGGGGGUUAUUUAUAAGGAAAGUUGGGGUGAUUUGGGGGGGGGGAAUCCGUUCAGCAAAAUUCAAAACUUUUGAAUUUCUUUCUUCGUUUCCAAAGGGAACAAUGAAAGAGAUUUGAAGAUCUCUGAAAAUGGGGGAAAGGGAACAACGAUUUGAUCGAUUAGGUUGCUAGGGUUAUGGGUUUGCAAAUGGGUGACGUACGGGUUUUUUUGCAAAGAAGAAAAGGCGUGCGAUUCUGGGUUUCUUUCUUUGACUUUUUCGCGAAGAAAAUGCAGGGGUGGGGUCGGGUUUGGUACUGCUCGCGAUUUUCUGGGUUUGCAGCGUCCUGAUUUGCUUCGCGAGGAAGAAGAAAGGCGCGUGGAUCACGUCGCGUACUGCUGAUGGCAUUGGGUUGGUUUUUGGUACUGCUGUUGUGAGUAUUUGGGAGUUGUUGAUGAAUGUAAUGUGGGCUGCUGAUUUAAAUGGAAGUUGGGCUAAAAAUUGGCCCAAUUUUGGUCUUAAAUUGAUCCACUAAAUGGAGCAAAUAUUGGUUAAAAUUCAAUUUUGAAAAAUAACCAUAUAGAUUACAAAUUCGGCCGAGUGAAGUUAAGGACAUAGUCGAUUUGAAUUAGUUGAGGAAUUCGACUAAGGUCAAAUAAGAUGAAUUAAUAUAAAUUAAUUAAUGAGCUUCUUAAUCUUAACCAGAUAAAAUAAUCAAUUUUAAAAUAUUAACUAUUAAUUAAUUAAACUAAUUGGCAAAAUUUAAAGCAAAACUAAAACCUUUUGAGACGAUUUUCAAAUAAAAAUAUACUAAUUAUAUACAUAACUAUAAAAACAUAUUUAUUAUAUUUAAAAAUUAUAAAAUUGACAAAACUUACAUAAAAAUAAUUCGAAAAAUAUUUCGAAUUUCAUAAAAGCUAAUUAAUUCAAAAGUAUAGCUAUCACUUUAAAACACACUAAAAAUAUAAAAUCUUUUGAGAUGAUUUUCGAAUAUUUAUAGGAUAUACUUAUUUCAUACAUAAUAAUAUAAAACAUAUAUAUUAUUAAAAAUUAUAAAAAGUGAUAGACUAUUUAAAAACUUGCAAAAAUAUUUUUAUUUUAUUUUUUAAAAAUUUAUGAAACUAAUUAUUUUAAAUAAUUUGAAAUUAAAGAGGCUCGAUGAUUAAUCUAUAAUGUAGAGUUCCAGGGUGUCAACAAUACUGAUAUGAGGUUCUCUCCAUUUGGUGACUGUGCUCUCCUGUGUAGUACACAAUGCAAGUUAUGAUCUCUCUUCUUUUUGGACAUGUGUGUUGCACUUGUAUGUCAAUUUACUGAAUUACAUAAUUUUGUCAAUAUUAUUAAAAUAAAACUUUGAGUAAAUGAUGAUAUAUAUUAUGCAUAAGAAUAAAGUACUAAGUGUUUGUGAAUGACAUAUCUUUGGAUCUUUGAAUAGUGACAUGCUUGUCAAUGUUAAGAUGAUGAGAAAUUAUCCGAAUUUACGUAAGGAUGACUCUAGAAAAAACUACAACAUAGUAAGGCACGCAGGAGGAUGAGAAAGAUACACACAUAUAUAUAUAUACACACGCGCGCGCGCGCACACACACACACAUAUAUAUAUUGUGGUUCUUUGCUCUCUAUCUUCGGCCAUGCACCCCAUAUAAGUAGUGUCGCCACAACUUAAGAACAAAGACCACGACCGUCAACUCCAAGUCAUGAGUAAGGUAGUUCUUCUCAUGGGUCUUCAACUGCCUGGAAGUAUAGUCAAUCACUUCCCCUUUUGCAUCAAAACACCACCCAAGUCGACACCUGAAGCAUCACAAUAUACGAUAAAGCCCACACCCUCUUUUGGUAGAGUCAAAACAAGUGCCAAAGUCAACAAGGUCUUGAGGUUUAAAAAGCUCUCAUCACACUCAUCAAACCACUGAAAACCCACACUCUACUAAGUCAAUCUGGUGAGUGGGGUUGCAAUAGUAUAGAAACCCUAUACAAAUUGUAUGUAGUAGCCUACCAACCUAAUAAACUACGAAUCUUAGUCGGAGAACUAGGCAUCGUUCAACCUCUCACCGCCUCAAUCUUGGCUGGAUCCACUCAGUACCCUUAUUGGACACCACACGUCCCAAGAAUGCCGCUGAAUUAAGCUAGAACUCACACUUUGAAAAUUUUGCAUACAACUUCUCCUCUCUCAACCUCUAAAGCACUAUCUUCAAAUGGAAAACAUGAUCCUUCUCAAUGUUGGAGUACACCAAAAUGACAUCUAUGAAUACAAUCGCAAAAGAAUCCAUAUAAGGUUAAAACACCCCGUUCUUCAACUCCAUGAACACUUCAGGAGCAUUAGUCAACCCAAAGGACAUCACCAAGAACCCAUAAUGGCCAUAUCGGGUUCGGAAAGUUGUCUUAGGGACAUCUGAUGCCCUAAUCCUCAACUGAUGGUAACUGGACCUUAAGUCUAUCUUAGAGAACAACCAGACCUCAAGUCUAUCUUAGAGAACAAAGUUGCUCCCUAAAGUUGAUCAAGCAAAUCAUCAAUGCACGGAAGAGGAUACUCGUUCUUCACCAUCACCUUGUUCAGUUGUCUAUAAUCGAGGCACAUUCUCAUAGACCCAUCAUUCUUCUAAACAAACAAGACCGGUGCACCCCAAGGUGACACACUAGGACGAAUGAACCUCUUACUCAAUAAAUCCGACAACUGCUCCUUCAACACUCUUGGGGCCAUGGGAUAAGGAGGAAUAGAGAUAGGCUUAGUGCCUGGCUCCAAAUCAAAAGCAAAAUCAAUGUCCUUAUCAAGAGGAACAUAUGGAAUAUUAGUAGGGAAUACAUCUGGAAACUCCUGAACCACGAGAAUGGACUCCAUGGGAGGUGACUUAACACUAGUAUCCAGGAUAAAAACCAAGUAGGAUAAACACCCUCUAUCCACCAAUCUCUAAGCACGUAGGAAUGAGAUAACCUUGCUAGGGUAAGAACCACUAGCACCUUCCACUCAAUCCUCGGAACACCAAGCAUCACUAAGGUCACAAUCUUAGCAUUACAAUCAAGAAUAACAUACUAAGGAGAGAGUCAAUCCAUACCCAAGAUAAAACUGCCAGUAAUUUAAUCUUCUCGAAUGCCCUUUUCACGAACGUGGUCCUUUAGGCGAUUAACCCACCGCAAACGCGGGAGUUUAUCAACUAAUGCGGAGGAAACACUCCUUAGUCUCCACGAACGUGGUCAAUCCCCACAAAUGCAGAGGACACCAGACAUCAACAACAUUAACAAUUCCCACAAGACACAAAAUUCACAGAAUGAAAGCCUUGGGAUUUGUUUAGAACAACAAAUUAGGUACACUACUCGACUAUAUUAAUGUUUCGGACUCAAUGGAACCACCGAAUCACCGAUUUGAGGUUUUCUUGACUCGAAACCUGUGAAAGUCGCAAUAAACUAACUAAACACUCAAAAAUACCAAACUGCCCUCGAAACCUCCAAAAAAUCAACCAAGACCACAACUAGGUCUAAAUCAUCCUCCGAAUCUAAUGAAAUCUUUGGAAAUCCAAUCUGAGCGUCCGAACUCCGAAUGUUGAUCAAAGUCAACUCAUGGUCCAAAAUCACUUAAAUUUCUAACUCAAAGGCUCAAAUCCACAUAACAACCCUAAAAUAGAGAACAACAACAGUCCUUAACCAAAUUCCACAUUACGGAAUUGAUGGAAUUUCAUUCCGAGGCUUGAAACUCUGGUUGUUACCAAAAAUCACUUUUAACAACUUUGAACAUUCCAAAACUCAAAACUCCCAAAAAUCACAACUUUUCAUUUAAAUAACAAAACCAACUUUGAAAACUGAUCUAAUGUGACUCUGAGCAUUUAUCGGGAGGGCUAAAAUGGUAAUUUUCCAAAAAUUUCCAAAAAUGACUUUCAGGGUCAUUAUAAUUACACAAUAGGACAUGUGCAAAUCAUGUUGUAGAUGUGAAGCUUAGUUGUUUGGUUUGAGGGCAUGUCACUAUCAUGAGAGUGUGAAUUGGUCCUCUAAUCAUUUAUUAUUUCCCUGAAAUCCCAUCUCCUUUUGAGUUGCCUAUGUCUCCCGUCUCCACACUCUUUGUGCUUAAAUUUGUGGGUCGUUAAUUGGUUGUGUAUACUAGCAUCAAGUGAAGUUAGAAAGAGAAAAAAAAUGUCACCCUCUUCAAAUUACCAGUUGUUUUCACUUGUCUCCAUCUUACUGCUAAUAACAGUUGAUCAAAGUUCACAAUCUCAAGCAACACAAGAAAACGGUGUGAAAGUUGGUGUCUUUCUAUCACCAGCGUUUGUGCUGGAACCUGGAUCUGUCUCUAACAAGUUUUACUACAACAUUGGCUUCCCAAAAGGCCAUAUUGCUAUUAAAAGUUUUGAUGCUGAAGUAGUUGAUGAGGCAGGGAAUUCGGUACCCCUUUACGAGACAUAUCUUCACCAUUGGGUUG
RNAcentral lists this long non-coding RNA (16616 nucleotides) under Solanum tuberosum (potato). RNAcentral's name for it is "long non-coding RNA (STUB_LNC011711)". Lineage: Eukaryota; Viridiplantae; Streptophyta; Magnoliopsida; Solanales; Solanaceae. The record is from RNAcentral.